UACGAAGGGGGCUAGCGUUGCUCGGAAUGACUGGGCGUAAAGGGCGCGUAGGCGGAUGGCACAGUCAGAUGUGAAAUUCCCGGGCUUAACCUGGGGGCUGCAUUUGAUACGUGUUGUCUUGAGUUCGGAAGAGGAUCGUGGAAUUCCCAGUGUAGAGGUGAAAUUCGUAGAUAUUGGGAAGAACACCGGUGGCGAAGGCGGCGACCUGGUCCGACACUGACGCUGAGGCGCGAAAGCGUGGGGAGCAAACAGG
RNAcentral lists this ribosomal RNA (253 nucleotides) under uncultured bacterium. RNAcentral's name for it is "partial 16S ribosomal RNA". It matches the Rfam family "Bacterial small subunit ribosomal RNA", at positions 524 to 776 of the family's 1533-position model. The record is from RNAcentral.